AACAGUAAUAAAUGGCAAAAGACAAGGAUUGGAAACAGAACGGUUUUUGUAAUUUGGCUAUAAAAAAGCCACAAUAUCUCUUUGUACUUUUUUUACGAACACCCAUCGAUAAAUCGAAAAUCAGAAACUGAAGCUCCAAAAGGUUGUUCUUCUUUAAAAAAAUUGUUAUCUUCGUUCUCUUUUUCAUAGUUUUUGUUUUUUUUUCUUUUCUUUUAUUUCAAAUCUAUUUAAAAGUAAUUAAAAAACAAAAAAAAGGACAAAGGAAGGUUACCUGAAUCGGCCCCUAGGCCUGCCGUCGAUGGUGAUUCACCGUCGCCGGAUGUGGGUUCAAGGAGGGGCCGAAGUUCUUCUCUUUCCCCUCGUCUCUUCGUUCCAUGGCCUCGUCCCAUGAGCGCGUUUCAAGGCGCCGAUAGGAGCCCUCUUCGCACAGCUCCGAUCACCGGGCGGUGGGGAGGCGUGACGGCGGCGACUGGGCCUGGAACCCAAGCAGAAAAAGGGAGACCUACCUUUUAUUUUUUUUAUUUAUUUAUUUUUUGUGUUUUUGCAAGGGAAUGAAACUGCAGAAAGUUUUUUUGUUGUUGUUGUUUUUUAGCUUUUAAGGUAAUUAAAUUGGUGCCGUUUGAAGGAGUCGGACCGGCGCACUCAUGCCCUA
Molecule: long non-coding RNA, 652 nt
Filed under: Gossypium raimondii (Peruvian cotton)
Lineage: Eukaryota; Viridiplantae; Streptophyta; Magnoliopsida; Malvales; Malvaceae
Description: long non-coding RNA (GRAI_LNC002819)
Source: RNAcentral